Molecule: ribosomal RNA, 227 nt
Filed under: uncultured bacterium
Lineage: Bacteria
Description: partial 16S ribosomal RNA
Rfam family: Bacterial small subunit ribosomal RNA
Source: RNAcentral
GAUCCUGGCUCAGAUUGAACGCUGGCGGCAGGCUUAACACAUGCAAGUCGAGCGGAGAUGAGGUGCUUGCACCUUAUCUUAGCGGCGGACGGGUGAGUAAUGCUUAGGAAUCUGCCUAUUAGUGGGGGACAACAUUCCGAAAGGGAUGCUAAUACCGCAUACGUCCUACGGGAGAGAGCAGGGGAUCUUCGGACCUUGCGCUAAUAGAUGAGCCUAAGUCGGAUUAG